This 443-nucleotide long non-coding RNA is filed under the name Helianthus annuus (common sunflower). Lineage: Eukaryota; Viridiplantae; Streptophyta; Magnoliopsida; Asterales; Asteraceae. The record is from RNAcentral.
UCAAAACUCUCUCUCUCUCUCAUCGCAGAUUAUUAAUUUAUUUCAAAUUGUCAAUCGAACGUUAAGUUGCUACCGUUAUCGAUGAAGAAGAUGGAUUUAGUCUCUGGUUAUAAGGGAGUUGUUGGACUUAUGUUUGGGAAUGAAGAUUCAAGUUCCAAUGAAGAUAGGUUGGUUGUUUUUAUUUUUUUCUAAUCUUUUUUAGGAGUUUAUGAUUUAGGUUAACCGUUAAAGUGUUAAAUAUGAUUAUGCCUAGUGCCCUUGGUUUUUUAAAAACUUGUGACACUCCGGUGGUGCGUUUUGAUCCCAAAAGUCGAUGCGUGAUGAGCGAUGUGCAAGGCGUGCGCGUCACGUAUGCGAGGCGCUAUUAUUAAAAGCUACUAAGAAAUUAUUUAUAGAUGCUAUUAUAACUUUUGUUAACUUUUGAAUGAUAAAAUAUAAGAUAU